This 478-nucleotide ribosomal RNA is filed under the name uncultured bacterium. Its description in RNAcentral is "partial 16S ribosomal RNA". It matches the Rfam family "Bacterial small subunit ribosomal RNA", at positions 28 to 507 of the family's 1533-position model. The record is from RNAcentral.
GAUGAACGCUGGCGGCGUGCUUAACACAUGCAAGUCGAACGGGAAACCUUUUAUUGAAGCUUCUGCAGAUGUAGCUGGCUUCUAGUGGCCGACGGGUUAGUAACGCGUGGGUAAUCUGCUUUCUUCAGGGGGAUAACAGUCAGACAUGGCUGCUAAUACCGCAUCAUCGCACAGAGCUGCAUGGCUCAGCGUGUGAAACUCCGGUGGUAUAAGAUGGACCCGCGUUGGGUUAGCUGGUUGGUGGGGUAAUGGCCCACCAACGCGACGAUCCAUGGCCGAGCUGGGAAGCGGACCGGCCACAAUGGGACUGAGGCACGGACCAGACUGCUACGGAAGGGAGCAGUGGGGAAUAUUGCACAAUGAGGGAAACCCUAAUGCAGCGGCGCGGCGUGAAGGGAGAAGUAUCUCGGUAUGUAAACUUCUAUCAGCAGGGAAGAUAAUGACGGUACCUGACAAAGAAGCCCCGGCUAACUACGUG